This 626-nucleotide long non-coding RNA is filed under the name Setaria viridis. RNAcentral describes it as "long non-coding RNA (SVIR_LNC001388)". The record is from RNAcentral. Lineage: Eukaryota; Viridiplantae; Streptophyta; Magnoliopsida; Poales; Poaceae.
GUAAUUGUGAAAAGGUAUCUUUUGCUUCUUCCGGAGAAGAUGGAGCAGUGUAUAAACGUUGUAUUUAUGUUGGUUAUGGGCUUAUGGUUGGUAGGCAAUUAAAUCAUGCCUGUUUUGUUAUAUUGAUUUAAAAUCGUACCUUGGCUUGAAUGUACCGCUAGUUAAACGUUCGUGUCCGUGAAAUUGCUUGACUUUGUGCCCCCAAUAUGUUCUCCCAGAUGCCAUUCUUAGUCAGGGGUUUCAUGAGAAAGCUUCCAAGAAUUUCAUAUGUUGUUGCUUCCAAUAUGUUGUUGCUUCCAAGACUGACUCAUCGUCUUAACUGAUUUUUUUUGACAAAUGAAACCGUACCGCCAAUGCAGAAUUGAAUCAUAAUUUUAUAGGCAAAAUGAUAAAUUUUAAUUGUGAUGCACCGAAAUGGACAGAAGAAAUUGAAUGAAACUUUGUCGUUUCACACUUUCACUGAUCGAUCGUAAGUCAAUUCCACAAAUUGGUCAUACACUCGUAUCAUACGUGAAAUUUGUACUUCGUCAAGGAUUCAUCCUUGCACCCUCCCUGCCCUCUGUGUCUUAAUCCACCAUAGGGACAACUUCGCGAUUGACUCAACGAGCAUGGCAACCUGCUUCUCU